RNAcentral lists this ribosomal RNA (465 nucleotides) under uncultured bacterium. RNAcentral's name for it is "partial 16S ribosomal RNA". It matches the Rfam family "Bacterial small subunit ribosomal RNA", at positions 28 to 507 of the family's 1533-position model. The record is from RNAcentral.
GACGAACGCUGGCGGCGUGCUUAACACAUGCAAGUCGAACGGAAAGGCCCUGCUUGCAGGGUACUCGAGUGGCGAACGGGUGAGUAACACGUGGGUGAUCUGCCCUGCACUUCGGGAUAAGCCUGGGAAACUGGGUCUAAUACCGGAUAGGAGCCAUUUUUAGUGUGAUGGUUGGAAAGUUUUUUCGGUGUAGGAUGAGCUCGCGGCCCAUCAGCUUGUUGGUGGGGUAAUGGCCUACCAAGGCGGCGACGGGUAGCCGGCCUGAGAGGGUGGACGGCCACAUUGGGACUGAGAUACGGCCCAGACUCCUACGGGAGGCAGAAGUGGGGAAUAUUGCACAAUGGGCGCAAGCCUGAUGCAGCGACGCCGCGUGGGGGAUGACGGCCUUCGGGUUGUAAACUCCUUUCGCUAGGGACGAAGCUUUUUGUGACGGUACCUAGAUAAGAAGCACCGGCUAACUACGUG